AAAACGACUCUCGGCAACGGAUAUCUCGGCUCUCGCAUCGAUGAAGAACGUAGCGAAAUGCGAUACUUGGUGUGAAUUGCAGAAUCCAGCGAACCAUCGAGUCUUUGAACGCAAGUUGCGCUCGAAGCCUUCGGGCUAAGGGCACGUCUGCCUGGGUGUCACGC
This 164-nucleotide ribosomal RNA is filed under the name Fagonia laevis. RNAcentral describes it as "5.8S ribosomal RNA". It matches the Rfam family "5.8S ribosomal RNA". Rfam says of the family: 5.8S ribosomal RNA (5.8S rRNA) is a component of the large subunit of the eukaryotic ribosome. Lineage: Eukaryota; Viridiplantae; Streptophyta; Magnoliopsida; Zygophyllales; Zygophyllaceae. The record is from RNAcentral.